This 582-nucleotide ribosomal RNA is filed under the name Apristurus brunneus (brown cat shark). Its description in RNAcentral is "partial 16S ribosomal RNA". It matches the Rfam family "Bacterial large subunit ribosomal RNA", at positions 1814 to 2600 of the family's 2925-position model. The record is from RNAcentral. Lineage: Eukaryota; Metazoa; Chordata; Chondrichthyes; Carcharhiniformes; Scyliorhinidae.
CAUCGCCUCUUGCUAAACUAUAAGAGGUCCCGCCUGCCCUGUGACAAUGUUCAACGGCCGCGGUAUUUUGACCGUGCAAAGGUAGCGUAAUCACUUGUCUUUUAAAUGAAGACCCGUAUGAAAGGCACCACGAGAGUUUAACUGUCUCUAUUUUCUAAUCAAUGAAAUUGAUCUAUUCGUGCAGAAGCGAAUAUAAUAACAUUAGACGAGAAGACCCUAUGGAGCUUCAAACACUUAGACUAAUUAUGUAAAAAUUUUUACCCUUAGGGCAUAAACAAAAAUACAAUACUUCUAGUUUAACUGUUUUUGGUUGGGGUGACCAAGGGGUAAAAUAAAACCCCCUUAUCGACCGAACACUUAGUGUUUGAAAAUUAGAAUGACAAUUCUAACUAAUAAAAUAUUUAUCGAAAAAUGACCCAGGAUUUCCUGAUCAAUGAACCAAGUUACCCUAGGGAUAACAGCGCAAUCCUUUCCCAGAGUUCCUAUCGACGAAGGGGUUUACGACCUCGAUGUUGGAUCAGGACAUCCUAAUGGUGCAGCCGCUAUUAAGGGUUCGUUUGUUCAACGAUUAAUAGUCCUACG